CUGGCCAAAGCACAUGAUCACAAACCGCUAAAUACUGGGCAAAGAACAAAACCCCGAGCAUGGGAGAGGCUGAAAGCACACUGAAAAACACUUCGACUUAAAGAUGAGUGGAAGAAGCUGAUGUGGAAGCCAGGGAUACUAAUGGCGGGUGUUAUUUUCCAGAAAGGUCCUGAGUAAGAGGCCAUUGUUCUGUGGUAUUGCUCUGCUUCCCAGGCUGGAGUACAAUGGCAUAAUCACGGUUCACUGCAGCCUCAACUUCCCUGGGCUCAGCUAAUUCUCCCACCUCAGCUCCUUUGACUCCACUGCUGGAACUACAGAUGGUGUCUGGAGCAACUCCCCCAACCUGCUAGUCAUGGCUAAAUGCUCUCCACAAUAUACACUUAAUAGAUGGUAAUCAAUCAUGUAUGUAAGGCUAAAUAUUAAAAAAUAAUAAUAAAUUUCAGUAACUUAAAACUAAACAAAUCCUCAUUUCACACCUUGUAUCAAGAUGGCUAUUUUUCACCAGGUGUGGAGGCUCACACCUGUAAUCCCAGUCCUUUGGGAGGCCAAGGUAGGCAGAUCGCUUGAGGUCAGGAGUCUGAGACCAGACUGGCCAAUACAGUGAAACCCUGUCUCUACUAAAAAU
This is a long non-coding RNA of Callithrix jacchus (white-tufted-ear marmoset), 625 nucleotides long. RefSeq lists it as uncharacterized. The record is from RefSeq and is a predicted model, not a curated record. NCBI's taxonomy places the organism in Eukaryota, Metazoa, Chordata, Mammalia, Primates, Cebidae.